CGAUUGGCUAAUUCAAAAAAAUCCUGAAUUCCUGUUGGCUGGAUUUUUUUGAUCGAUCAUACCGUUCAGACUAAUAGUAUGCACGGAAAGGUCUAUGGUAUUUAUGUAAAUUGACUGAAAUAUUAUGUAAAUUUCGUCUCUUAUUGUUAUACGCGUACCCGCCGAUUUUAUAGCAUGUGCGUUUUAUGGCAAUUUAAUCGGAAAAUUUAUCAGAAGUUCUAAACUAAUGCUAGCCAUGUCUGGACUCUGUUAGUAUUUACGUAACCGCAAAGGCUGCUUUAGAGAAUGAUGAUCGACAAUAAGACUUAUUGAGCGCUGUGAACAACACAAGCUUCUUCCUCGCACCGCGAAAUUUUGGUGCGGAAUCUUACAUCACGAAGUACGUUCGACAGAAAACAAAAACGUUUUGUACGGCCUUAAGGUAAAUAUAUUCUAUUUUAAUUAACUAGAUAUGGCAUUAUAGCUGUUGUAGGCUGUAGUGGAUUGCGCGUCUGUACGUAAUAAGAGACGAAAUUUACAUAAUAUUUCAGUCAAUUUACAUAAAUACUGCGGCUUAAUACUGCGGCUUAAUACAAGCAGUUUCAGUUUGCUUAUACUUUGUUUAUGCCUCUUGUGGAAUGUGGGCUUUAUAUAUUGU
Molecule: non-coding RNA, 637 nt
Organism: Paramuricea clavata
Lineage: Eukaryota; Metazoa; Cnidaria; Anthozoa; Malacalcyonacea; Plexauridae
Source: the annotation of a GenBank genome assembly